Molecule: long non-coding RNA, 2789 nt
Organism: Pongo pygmaeus (Bornean orangutan)
Lineage: Eukaryota; Metazoa; Chordata; Mammalia; Primates; Hominidae
Exons: 4
Source: RefSeq, a predicted model, not a curated record
CUCCACUUUUUCAGAAGACUGUGGGAUUGUCUGCAAAGAGAAAAAUCUAGAUGUUUUUACUUUUGAUAGUUUUUCUCAUAGCUAACCACAUUUCUUUCUAGAGUUGUCCCAUUUUAAAUACUCUGAGUGUUUAUGAAACCAUUAAAGAUGAUAUCAAGAUGAAAUCUGCAUUCUGACACCUUAUGUUUUCCUUUCUAAAAUGGAAGAUGAUCCAGAGAAACAUUAAAAAAGUUUAAUAUCUUCAUCAUCUACAAAUAUAUUGAUAAUUUCUACAUCUAGAGUGCUCUGCCAGUAGGGCUAUGAUUUUGAUUCAGCAAUUCUUCAAACCACUGAUGCUGGUUGACCAUUUGACUUUGUUUUUGAAGUAUUUUUUACAUACAGUGUACAGGUUGAAGGCAAUGGUGAUGAAAGUAAAUAUUUAAAAACAGUACCAUAGCUGUCCCAAAUUUAAGAAAAACAAGGUACCACUGGAAACAUUAAAUUUCAUUAGAACACAGAAGAAUGACCAUUUUGUGAUCAGUUUUCUGCAUCUUUAAAAUGCCUGGAAGGUCAUCUUUAAAUGGUACAAUCUGAUAAAAGUUUAAUACUUAUUGUAGACUUAUAUGAAUACUUCUACAUUCAUACAUUUUUGUAUACUUAUACAUUUUCAUAUUCAAUGAAUGCUUAAUUCAAAAAAUAUUUGAGUAUCUGCAGUGUUCCCCAUGCUACAUACUGAGCUUAAACGGUCAAAAAGACACAGUCUUUGACCUCAAAAUACUUUGAUUCUUGUAAGAAAAACGGACAAAGACAAAGAUAAGGCAAUGUGAAAACUUCUACAGUUGGAAUAAUCUUGGAGGUUACAGGAUGUGGACUCACUGAAAGCUUUCUGCUGGACUUGAACUUGAAGCUGCAGUCUGAAGGACAGACGGGUGUUGCUUAGAGAAGGGAAAUUAGGAAGCAAAGACCCCUGGACAGAGUGUAGCAGGCACAGAGGGAGCAUGACACCUCCGGGAGAGAGCCGCAAGCACCUAGGCCCAGAUCCCAGCUUUAGCUUCAUUAGCCCUGUGAACUCUGUAUGUCAGCCUUGACAUAGAAAAAAAGAGGAUACUAAACCUCCAUCUUAAAAGAGACUUGGAAGAAGCUGGGAUUAUAGGCACACCACCACACCUGGACCUAGAAAAGGCUUCUUAGAAGAUAAUCUCCAGGGCUGAACAGGCAGUUGCAUCUGGUCAAGGCCAACUUGAUAGCCACCCAUCCUUCCCCGCGUCACUCUGUUUGUCCCUGCCUCCUGCUCUGCUCUCUGGGAAACUCAGGCUAAGACUUUGCUGCAUUUGUUGAGUAGUCAUUGCAUCAGUUUCUUUCAUAGACAGUUAGUGAAAUGAAGACCAUCGGAAAGGUAACUCAUAAAAACCACACAGUCUGAUGGCUAAGCUGUGAGGAGGGUUUGUUGCUCCUGGUUUGCACACAUCUGUCAUUUGAUGCUAUACACAAAAGGGGUCCCCUUCCACAUCUUUACCUGGUGGUCCUGGAGGUCCCGGUGAUCCUGGAAGGCCUGGUGAACCAGGACAACCUGGGGACCCAGGAGUCCCCAUGGCAUCCUUUCCUGGGAGGCCUCGUUCCCCUUUACUUCCUUUCAAGCCUGGCCAUCCAGGGGCUCCUCUGAGGCCAGGCCUUGAAGAUCCUUGGAGAAAAUAAUCAUUUCUUGUAUUUUACAUUUUUUCCUGAUUAAUACAAAUUUAUUUUUUAAUUGCAAGUGAUAUAAUUUUAUUUAUAAAAAUUGCACAAUGUAGAGGUACAUAACACAUAUAAAAUAAAAAAGUGAAUAUCCUUGCUUUUUUCAUCUGUGGCCUUGUUAAAUAACCACAGUACAGCAAAGUGGAGAACAUUCCAUUCCCACGAGAAAAUUUAUUACAAGAAACUGAAACAGAGUUUGGGAUGCACUGUAGUCUUUUUAUCUAAAAGGAAGUGAGGAAUACUUCCAUAUAUGCUACUUUGUAGAUAUUUUUUUAUUAGAGACUAGAGGAUGCCCCCAGUGCCCAAAAUGAGAAAGAGAGAAAGUUGUUAAGUGGACUUUAUUCCUGCCAGUGUCUUACACAUAAAAGGGUGUGAUGGGGGAUAGACAUCUCCUGGGAAAGGAGCCGUGCCUGGUGGUACAAACCCCACCCUAAUCUUAAAAUGGUGAGGAUGUGAGGAGGGGACAGUCUCAAAUUUCUGUCCCACAAACAGUUUAUUAAGAAGAGAGAUGCCACCAGCAAAGGGCUGAGAAACCAGCUGGGGUAAUAUCUGAUUAUGUCCUAUUAUUUGAACACAAAGACAAAAUCUUCUGAUUGACAUCCGUUUCAGAGCUUUGUAUUUUUUUAAUCAUAUUUUACUUUGGCAUAUUAUAUUUGUACUAAUUUAUGGGGUACAUGUAAGAUUUUGCUACAUGUAUCGAAUGUGUAGUGUAAUGAUCAUGUCAGGGUAUUUUUGAGUAUCUAUGACCCAAGUAUUUAUCAUUUCUGUGUUGAGUACAUUUCAUGUCCUGUCUUCCAGUUAAUUUGAAAUAUACAAUACAUUGUUGUUAACUAUAGUCACCCUACUGUGCUAUCAAACAUUAGACUUUAUUCCUUCUAUCUAACUGUAUGCUUGUACCCAUUAACCUCUUCACCCCUAAGUCCAUCAAAAAAACUCUUAGAACCGAUAAACAAAUUCAGUAAAAUUGCAGGACAUGACAUCAACAUACAAAAACCAGUAGCAUUUUUUAUGCACCGAUAAUGAAAUAGCCAAAAAAGAAAUCAAGAAGGCAAUCCAUUUGCAGUAGCCACAUACAC